ACUUUUUUAUGUAUGAGAGGCACCGGCCAAGGGCAACAAAAUUGAUAAAAAGGCCCUCUGAAAGUGGGUGGAUCCCACUCAUACUGCUCUUUUAGAGCAGAAUGGAAUCGGAAGCUUUUCGUCUUAUCAUCUCCUUUCCUCUAACUGACUGUCUCUCAUUGCAUCAGUGUCGCAUCUUUUGCUAUCUUCUACCGCUAUUUUCAUGCUAACUGCUCUUCUCAUCUUGCUAACUGCAUGACUCCCCUCGCUGGACAAGACUUUUUCUUCUUUCUCUCACCCCUAUUCUUUCCACCUCUCUAAUGCAAGAGUUAACCAGUAUUCUCAGUCAUUCAUCCCUUUCUUUGGUAAACUUUGGAACUCCCUGCCUGCUUCUAUAUUUCCUCCUUCCUAUGACUUGAACUCUUUCAAGAGGAAGGUCUCAAGACACUGCUAUUUGAGGAUUCUAUUUUGGCAUUGCUCUGGGAACUGGUAUUUAAAUGGGCUUUUUUUAUUCAAAUUUUAUUACCCUUGGCCAGUGGCCCUCUUACAAAAAAAAAAAAAGAUUAUAGUAAUAAUUCAUUGGCUGCAUCUAAAAUUAAGAAUACUGCAAUACAAUAUUACAGUCAAAUGCAUUUAUGAAACAUUUCCAUAAUAUCAGGAAUUAGGGUGAGUGCAUGUAGUAGUAGUAGCAGCAGUAUUAGUAGUAGUAUCAGUAGUAGUAGUAGUAGUAGUAGUAGUAGUAGUAGUAGUAGUAGUAGUAGUAGUAGUAGAAAAAACGAGUAGUAGUAAUUAGCAGUAGAACAAACAGUUGAUAGUAAUGAUAGUAGAACAAAUGGUAGUAAUAGUAGUAAAACAAACUGGUAAUAGUAGUAGUAGAACACACAUGUGGUAGUGGUGGUAGUAGUAGUAGUAGUAGUAGUAGUAGUACAAAGAACAACAAUAACAGUAGAAGUAAAACAAUUAUGAAUCACAAUAAAAUAAACUUUUCAACAAAUAUCACAAUAAAAUAAGAAUCUUACAACAAAUAAUGAAAAUAAGAAUAAUUGAGAAAACCAUUACAAAUUUUGCUGAUUAUACAAAUAAGAUUAGAUACAUCUCUUAAUAAUGGUUUAUUAACAAGACUCUUAAUAUCUACGGAGAGUGAAUUCCACCCGUGAGGUCCGGAACACAACAAACUGUUUUGAAAGAGAAUGUUUCUGAAGUGUGGACACGCUGGGUUGACAUUAUUACCUCGAGCAUUUGGUGAAGUGCUUACUAAUCUGAAAGGUUGUGCUCCCUGAUACUGUGUGAUGCAUAAUGUAAGCUAUCAAUAUUCGUGUCAUCCAACAGUAAAUUUGUCAUCUGCAUAUAUAGUAUAUUUUGAUUUAGAGCUUACAUAAACAAGAGUAGACUGAAUUACUAUAUACUGUUUGAUAUAUGUUUGUGAGGGUGAAGAGAGGAUGACGGGAGGUUGACGGGGAAGUAAUGGAGGUGGUGAGGGGUGGAUGACGAUGACCAGUGGGUGACGGGGCUGUGAUUCCCUGCAAUCCUGUCUUCUUGCCUGGCCAGAUUCAUGUCCUUUAGACAGUAAUGGAUGAUAAGGUUUCUUUUCUACUACUUAUUUCAUUUUCUUCUCUAAAUAAAUAGCAGUCAGCUCCAACUGAAACAAAGUGCUUGAUUCUACUGGGACUACAUUUGCUUUGAACAUAAGUAGAUCUGAUUCAGAAUUGUAAUUAGUGACGUGCACAGGCAUCCCAUAAACCUUACAGGAAGUCUAUAAAUAAAUGUAAGACAAAUCUAGAACUUUUCUCCAACACGUACCUGAGAAAGAAAUGACAACUUUUGCCACUCAAAGGUCAAGGUUUCCCAAGAGCUGAUUAUUUCCAUUGGAGGUUCCUCAUCCCAGUCGACUUUCUUGCUCCAAACUUCACACUAAUCAUUUCAGUGGCGCGGUUAGAGAGCCAAUUAGCCCUAAAGGAUCAUAAACUUUACUUUUGUUGCAUAGCAAGCACCUCUUGCUGUUCCUCAUUGCAUUUUCUGAAUUGUAAGUGAGCGAGUCAAUGUGAGGAUUCUGCCGCAGUCCUAACACAUUUAAUGUUGUCGCUCUGGCCAGAGAGCGUCAGCCUUCAAGCGUGGUGAGUGUGUGGCCCAUUCUUAGAGUGGCAUUGUGGCAGAGUCCACCACUGUGUUGGCUGCAUCAUAAAUUUUGAGUGAGGGAUUCUCACCAUUAGCAGUACUCUGGAUAUUUCCAAAGUAUACAGAGUUCUUGAGCAAGUUUCUUUCUUUCUAUUUCUUUAUUUUCUCAAUUACUGGAUCUCUCUCAUCUCGUAUUUCCUUUUCCCUCGCUCCCUCCUUUAUCCCAAAGCUUCCUUUUCGCUUUGCUGAGGAUUAGAGAGGUGGACAGAAUAGGGAUGAGAGAAAGAAGAAAGCCUUGUGCAGCGAGGCCGCGGGAGAAGGGGAGGCAUGCAGAAGAGCAAUUAGCAUGAAAAUAGCGGUAGAAGACAGCUAGAGAUGCAACAUGGCGGCGGUGAGAGAGAGGCUGAAGACAGUCAGUUAGAGGA
Scylla paramamosain (green mud crab) is the source of this 2519-nucleotide long non-coding RNA. RefSeq lists it as uncharacterized. Lineage: Eukaryota; Metazoa; Arthropoda; Malacostraca; Decapoda; Portunidae. The transcript has 2 exons. The record is from RefSeq and is a predicted model, not a curated record.